RNAcentral lists this ribosomal RNA (493 nucleotides) under uncultured bacterium. RNAcentral describes it as "bacterial SSU rRNA". It matches the Rfam family "Bacterial small subunit ribosomal RNA", at positions 28 to 524 of the family's 1533-position model. The record is from RNAcentral.
GAUGAACGCUAGCGGGAGGCCUAACACAUGCAAGCCGAGCGGUAGAGAUUCUUCGGAAUCUUGAGAGCGGCGUACGGGUGCGGAACACGUGUGCAACCUACCUUUAUCUGGAGGAUAGCCUUUCGAAAGGAAGAUUAAUACUCCAUAAUAUAUUGAUUGGCAUCAAUUGAUAUUGAAAGCUCCGGCGGAUAGAGAUGGGCACGCGCAAGACUAGUUAGUUGGUGAGGUAACGGCUCACCAAGACGAUGAUCUUUAGGGGCCUGAGAGGGUGAUCCCCACACUGGUACUGAGACACGGACCAGACUCCUACGGGAGGCAGCAGUGAGGAAUAUUGGUCAAUGGGUGCAAGCCUGAACCAGCCAUCCCGCGUGAAGGACGACUGCCCUAUGGGUUGUAAACUUCUUUUGUAUAGGGAUAAACCUACCCUCGUGAGGGUAGCUGAAGGUCUAUACGAAUAAGCACCGGCUAACUCCGUGCCAGCAGCCGCGGUAAU